Molecule: unclassified non-coding RNA, 354 nt
Filed under: Hevea brasiliensis (rubber tree)
Lineage: Eukaryota; Viridiplantae; Streptophyta; Magnoliopsida; Malpighiales; Euphorbiaceae
Source: RNAcentral
GUGUGCUUGAAAAGUAAAUUGAUCAUCACAGAAAUGUAAUGAUUGCAUUGGAAAAGUAAACCGAGCACUUGACUAAAAAUUAAAUCUGUGCAUUUGAAAAGUAAAUUGAUCACUUUGUAGGAAAAGCAAAUUUGUGUAUUGAAAAUGUGAAUUCAUUGCUUUGCAGAAAAGUAAAUUUAUCACUUGGAAAAGUAAAUCUGUGCGUGAAAAAAAUAAAUGAUCGCUUGAUAAAAAAUUAAAUCAUCACUUGAAAAAUAAAUUGGACAUUGAGAAUUAAAUGAGCUGAUUGCUUAAAAAGAAAUAUGAACAUAAAAGAUGUAGAUUGCAUUAAAAAUUGUAAAGAUCGCUUACAGG